CAGCCAGCCACCUUGCUAAGUGAUAUAGGAUCAGGAGGGCAACAACCAGCUUCCUGGGAGAAAACCUCAGGGGAGACAACUCAACCUCCCAGCACAAAGGGGAGGAAAUUUGACAUUGAUAUUGAGGCCUCAGAGCAGUUAAAUGUUCGAUCAAGCUCCUCCAAGUUUUUACCAAGUCUGUCCGAAGCAAACAGCGAGAACAGCGACUCGUUUGCUCUGAGAUUGUCACACUCUGAAGAGGACAAAUCAAACUCUGCUCACAAAUCACAGGGGAAGUUUCCAGAAGAAGAUAAGAAUCUUGAUGACGAACAUG
Molecule: long non-coding RNA, 313 nt
Organism: Liolophura sinensis
Lineage: Eukaryota; Metazoa; Mollusca; Polyplacophora; Chitonida; Chitonidae
Exons: 3
Source: RefSeq, a predicted model, not a curated record